UAAUUUAUAUGUAAUUAGUUAAA
This 23-nucleotide transfer RNA is filed under the name Rosa canina. RNAcentral's name for it is "partial tRNA-Val". The record is from RNAcentral. Lineage: Eukaryota; Viridiplantae; Streptophyta; Magnoliopsida; Rosales; Rosaceae.